This 1052-nucleotide ribosomal RNA is filed under the name uncultured organism. RNAcentral's name for it is "SSU rRNA". It matches the Rfam family "Bacterial small subunit ribosomal RNA", at positions 412 to 1474 of the family's 1533-position model. The record is from RNAcentral.
CUGCCCGAUGGGUAGUAAACUUCAUUAAUAAAGGAAUAAAGUCGGGAACGCAGACCCGUGAGCAUGCACUUUAAGAAUAAGGAUCGGCUAACUCCGUGCCAGCAGCCGCGGAAAUACAGAGGAUCCGAGCGUUAUCCAGAUUUAGUGGGUUUAAAGGGAGCGUACAUGGAAGUAUAAGUCAGGUGAGAAAGUUUGCGGCUCAACCGUAAAAUUGCAGGAGAUACUGGAUGUCUUGAGUGCAGUUGAGGCAGGCGGAAUUCGUGGUGUAGCGGUGAAAUGCUUAGAUAUCACGAAGAACUCCGAUUGCGAAGGCAGCCUGCUAAGCUGCAACUGACAUUGAGGCUCGAAAGUGUGGGUAUCAAACAGGAUUAGAUACCCUGGUAGUCCACACGGUAAACGAUGAAUACUCGCUGUUUGCGAUAUACGGCAAGCGGCCAAGCGAAAGCGUUAAGUAUUCCACCUGGGGAGUACGCCGGCAACGGUGAAACUCAAAGGAAUUGACGGGGGCCCGCACAAGCGGAGGAACAUGUGGUUUAAUUCGAUGAUACGCGAGGAACCUUACCCGGGCUUAAAUUGCACUCGAAUGAUCCGGAAACGGUUCAGCUAGCAAUAGCGAGUGUGAAGGUGCUGCAUGGUUGUCGUCAGCUCGUGCCGUGAGGUGUCGGCUUCAGUGCCAUAACGAGCGCAACCCUUGUUGUCAGUUACUAACAGGUGAUGCUGAGGACUCUGACAAGACUGCCAUCGUAAGAUGUGAGGAAGGUGGGGAUGACGUCAAAUCAGCACGGCCCUUACGUCCGGGGCUACACACGUGUUACAAUGGGGGGUACAGAGGGCCGCUACCACGCGAGUGGAUGCCAAUCCCUAAAGCCCCUCUCAGUUCGGACUGGAGUCUGCAACCCGACUCCCCGAAGCUGGAUUCGCUAGUAAUCGCGCAUCAGCCACGGCGCGGUGAAUACGUUCCCGGGCCUUGUACACACCGCCCGUCAAGCCAUGGGAGCCGGGGGUACCUGAAGUGCGUAAAGGGGAGGAUCGCCCUAGGGUAAAACUGGUGA